CCUACGGGAGGCAGCAGUGGGGGAUAUUGCACAAUGGGGGGAACCCUGAUGCAGCGACGCCGCGUGGGGGAAGACGGUCCUCUGGAUUGUAAACCACUGUCACCAGGGACGAAAAUGACGGGACCGGGGGAGGAAGCGCCGGCGAAGUACGUGCCAGCAGCCGCGGUAAUACGUAGGGAGCGAGCGUUGUCCGGAAUUACGGGGUGUAAAGGGAGCGUAGGCGGGGCUGCAAGUUGGGUGUCCAAACUACCGGCUCAACUGGUAGUCGCACUCCAAACUGCAGCUCUUGAGUGAAGUAGAGGCAGGCGUACUUCCUAGUGUAGCGGUGAAAUGCGUAGAUAUUAGGCGG
RNAcentral lists this ribosomal RNA (349 nucleotides) under uncultured bacterium. Its description in RNAcentral is "partial 16S ribosomal RNA". It matches the Rfam family "Bacterial small subunit ribosomal RNA", at positions 338 to 704 of the family's 1533-position model. The record is from RNAcentral.